This 76-nucleotide transfer RNA is filed under the name Aeromonas salmonicida. RNAcentral's name for it is "tRNA-Val". It matches the Rfam family "tRNA". Rfam says of the family: Transfer RNA (tRNA) molecules are approximately 80 nucleotides in length. Their secondary structure includes four short double-helical elements and three loops (D, anti-codon, and T loops). Lineage: Bacteria; Pseudomonadati; Pseudomonadota; Gammaproteobacteria; Aeromonadales; Aeromonadaceae. The record is from RNAcentral.
GGGCGUUUAGCUCUGCUGGGCGAGCCCCUCCCUUACACGGAGGGGGUCACUGGUUCGAUCCCAGUAACGCCCUCCG